Molecule: non-coding RNA, 85 nt
Filed under: Nocardioides sp. IMT03
Lineage: Bacteria; Bacillati; Actinomycetota; Actinomycetes; Propionibacteriales; Nocardioidaceae
Source: RNAcentral
CUUCAUGGCGGAUCGCGCGGGGAGACCCUCGUGGUCUGCCGGUCUCUUGUCCCGGUCUGUCAACCCCGCGCGAUUCGCCACCCUU